Molecule: long non-coding RNA, 458 nt
Organism: Manduca sexta (tobacco hornworm)
Lineage: Eukaryota; Metazoa; Arthropoda; Insecta; Lepidoptera; Sphingidae
Exons: 2
Source: RefSeq, a predicted model, not a curated record
CACCCCCGCGCCCGGACGAGGGGAAUGCGUUCGGGCAAGCGUCAUUAGGAGGAAUCGAAUAAAACGCGAUCGAACUAUAUUUGCAAAUUAUAAAAUUACUGAACAUAAUAUCUAAAGACUACAGCCUUGUGUACCCCGAAUUGGGGUUCACCCGCUUGCUUAGUGCUCUGCCCUACUGCCUGCUACUACCGUCGGUCACACCGGGUCCAGUCGUGUUCCACGGGAGUGGUUGCAUGACCCUUUUGCCUGCUGCAGUUUACCUACGGGUGCCACCUACUGCUUGCUGCUGUAGCAAGAGGAGUGUACGCUACUGCACUCCGCGCCACGCACCAGGAACCCAAGGCCAGUGUAUUCAAUCGGUGGAGAAUGUGUUUUGGACAAUGGAUGUUCUAAUACCCCUUAUAGAAUAAGUACCUUAUAUAAUAUUUUGUUUACCUUUAUUACAUAUUUUGUUAGCC